UACAGAGGUCCCGAGCGUUGUUCGGAUUCACUGGGCGUAAAGGGUGCGUAGGUGGUGAGGUAAGUCGGAUGUGAAAUCUCCGGGCUCAACCCGGAAAUGGCAUUGGAAACUACCUUGCUGGAGGAUUUGGGGGGGGAUUGGAAUACUUGGUGUAGCAGUGAAAUGCGUAGAGAUCAAGAGGAACACUCGUGGCGAAAGCGAGCUACUGGACAAUUCCUGACGCUGAGGCUCGAAGGCUAGGGUAGCGAAAGGG
This 253-nucleotide ribosomal RNA is filed under the name uncultured bacterium. Its description in RNAcentral is "partial 16S ribosomal RNA". It matches the Rfam family "Bacterial small subunit ribosomal RNA", at positions 524 to 776 of the family's 1533-position model. The record is from RNAcentral.